Molecule: ribosomal RNA, 920 nt
Filed under: Scytinostroma artocreas
Lineage: Eukaryota; Fungi; Basidiomycota; Agaricomycetes; Russulales; Lachnocladiaceae
Description: partial 28S ribosomal RNA
Rfam family: Eukaryotic large subunit ribosomal RNA
Source: RNAcentral
UAACAUAUCAAUAAGCGGAGGAAAAGAAACUAACAAGGAUUCCCCUAGUAACUGCGAGUGAAGCGGGAUGAGCUCAAAUUUAAAAUCUGGCAGUGUAACGGCUGUCCGAGUUGUAAUUUAGAGAAGUGUUUUCUGUGCUAGUCCGUGUACAAGUCUCCUGGAAUGGGGCGUCAUAGAGGGUGAGAAUCCCGUCUUUGACACGGUGCAACUGGUGCUCUGUGAUACACUCUCGAAGAGUCGAGUUGUUUGGGAAUGCAGCUCAAAAUGGGUGGUGAACUCCAUCUAAAGCUAAAUAUUGGCAAGAGACCGAUAGCGAACAAGUACCGUGAGGGAAAGAUGAAAAGCACUUUGGAAAGAGAGUGAAACAGUACGUGAAAUUGCUGAAAGGGAAACGCUUGAAGUCAGUCGCAUUUGCUAGAAUUCAGCUCUCUUGUAGAGUGUACUUUCUUAGUUGAAUGGGUCAGCAUCACUUCUUGGCCCCUGGAAAAGGGCUUGAGGAAUGUGGCACUUCCUUGUGAGGUGUGUUAUAGCCUCGGGUCGUAUACAGGUGGCUAGGAGUGAGGAAUGCCUUUGUAGGAUGCUGGCAUAAUGGCUUUAAGCGACCCGUCUUGAAACACGGACCAAGGAGUCUAACAUGCAUGCAAGUGUUUGGGUGGUUAAAACUCAUGCGCGUAAUGAAAGUGAACAAUUGGGAAGGCUGUCAUGGCCUGCACCAAUGCCCGGACUUGCGAUUUAUCUACGGUUCUGCGGUCGAGCAUGUAUGUUGGGACCCGAAAGAUGGUGAACUAUGCCUGAAUAGGGUGAAGCCAGAGGAAACUCUGGUGGAGGCUCGUAGCGAUUCUGACGUGCAAAUCGAUCGUCAAAUUUGGGUAUAGGGGCGAAAGACUAAUCGAACCAUCUAGUAGCUGGUUCCUGCCGAA